RNAcentral lists this ribosomal RNA (484 nucleotides) under uncultured bacterium. RNAcentral describes it as "partial 16S ribosomal RNA". It matches the Rfam family "Bacterial small subunit ribosomal RNA", at positions 899 to 1397 of the family's 1533-position model. The record is from RNAcentral.
ACUCAAAGGAAUAGACGGGGGCCCGCACAAGCAGCGGAGCGUGUGGUUUAAUUCGAUGCAACGCGCAGAACCUUACCUCGGCUUGACAUGCACGUGGUACCAACCCGAAAGGGGCGGGACCCGCAAGGGAGCGUGCACAGAUGCUGCAUGGCUGUCGUCAGCUCGUGCCGUGAGGUGUUGGGUUAAGUCCCGCAACGAGCGCAACCCCCGCCGUCAGUUACCUUCUCUGGCGGGACCGCCGGUACAAACCGGAGGAAGGUGGGGAUGACGUCAAGUCAGCACGGCUCUUACGUCGAGGGCGACACACACGCUACAAUGGCCGGUACAGAGGGCCGCGACGGGGUGACCCCGAGCAAAUCCCAGCAAAGCCGGUCUCAGUUCGGAUUGCAGGCUGCAACCCGCCUGCAUGAAGUCGGAGUUGCUAGUAACCGCUGGUCAGCACACAGCGGUGAAUACGUUCCCGGGCCUUGUACACACCGCCCGU